AUCCAGACUCCUACGGGAGGCAGCCGUGGGGAAUAUUGGACAAUGGGGGAACCCCUGACCCAGCGCCUCCUCGUGAGGGCAGCAGGUUUUCGGAUUGUCCACCUCUGUCCUUUUUGACGAUACUGCCGGUAGCCACUUCUUCAGCCACGUCUCCCUACGUGCCCGCCGCCGCGGUAAUCCGUCGGUGGCGAUCUUUGUCCGGAAUUCCUUUGUGUAAAGGGAGCGUAGGCGGGAGAGCAAGUCGACUGGGAAAUCUAGGGGAGUAACCCAUAGCUGCGAUCGAAACUGUUCAUCUUGAGUGAAGUAGAGGCAGGCGGAAUUCCUAGUGUAGCGGUGAAAUGCGUAAAGAUGAGGAGGAACACCAGUGGCGAAGGCGGCCGGCUGGGCUUUAACUGACGCUGAGGCUCGAAAGCGUGGUUAGCAAACAGGAUUAGAUACCCCCGUAA
RNAcentral lists this ribosomal RNA (446 nucleotides) under uncultured bacterium. Its description in RNAcentral is "bacterial SSU rRNA". It matches the Rfam family "Bacterial small subunit ribosomal RNA", at positions 329 to 793 of the family's 1533-position model. The record is from RNAcentral.